GCACUAGUAGCUCAAACAGAGCACCGACCUUGUAAGCCGAAUGUUGGAGGUUAAAGUCCCCCCUACUGCU
RNAcentral lists this transfer RNA (70 nucleotides) under Bufoceratias thele. Its description in RNAcentral is "tRNA-Thr". It matches the Rfam family "tRNA". From Rfam's summary of the family: Transfer RNA (tRNA) molecules are approximately 80 nucleotides in length. Their secondary structure includes four short double-helical elements and three loops (D, anti-codon, and T loops). Further hydrogen bonds mediate the characteristic L-shaped molecular structure. tRNAs have two regions of fundamental functional importance: the anti-codon, which is responsible for specific mRNA codon recognition, and the 3' end, to which the tRNAs corresponding amino acid is attached (by aminoacyl-tRNA synthetases). tRNAs cope with the degeneracy of the genetic code in two manners: having more than one tRNA (with a specific anti-codon) for a particular amino acid; and 'wobble' base-pairing, i.e. permitting non-standard base-pairing at the 3rd anti-codon position. The record is from RNAcentral. Lineage: Eukaryota; Metazoa; Chordata; Actinopteri; Lophiiformes; Diceratiidae. RNAcentral also lists the same sequence under 2 other names.